Molecule: small RNA, 786 nt
Filed under: Pan troglodytes (chimpanzee)
Lineage: Eukaryota; Metazoa; Chordata; Mammalia; Primates; Hominidae
Description: retained intron
Source: RNAcentral
GACGCAGCCAUGGCGGAGGCGGCUUUGGAAGCCGCGCGGAGCGAGUGACGAGAAUUCCCGGCCGCUUCAAGGGAGCUCUGCGUGCCUCUUGCUGUGCCCUACCUGGACAAACCUCCAACUCCGCUCCACUUCUACCGGGACUGGGUCUGCCCCAACAGGCCGUGCAUCAUCCGCAACGCUCUGCAGCACUGGCCGGCCCUCCAGAAGUGGUCCCUCCCCUACUUCAGGUGGGAGCUGCCCUGGGGUCUGGUGUGAGCAGUGAUUACUGGCAUCUGGGCAUGGGCUGAGUGUCCAUUCCUCUAGAGCCACAGUGGGCUCCACAGAGGUGAGUGUGGCCGUGACCCCGGAUGGUUACGCGGAUGCCGUGAGAGGGGAUCACUUCAUGAUGCCAGCUGAGCGCCGCCUGCCCCUGAGCUUCGUGCUGGAUGUGCGGGAGGGCCGGGCCCAGCACCCUGGAGUCCUCUAUGUGCAGAAGCAGUGCUCCAACCUGCCCACUGAGCUGCCCCAGCUGCUGCCUGAUCUGGAAUCCCAUGUGCCCUGGGCCUCCGAAGCCCUGGGAAAGAUGCCCGAUGCUGUGAACUUCUGGCUGGGGGAGGCGGCUGCGGUGACUCUUUGCAAAAGGACCACUAUGAGAACCUCUACUGCGUGGUCUCAGGAGAGAAGCAUUUCCUGUUCCAUCCGCCCAGCGACCGGCCCUUCAUCCCCUAUGAGCUGUACACGCCGGCAACCUACCAGCUAACUGAAGAGGGCACCUUUAAGGUGGCGGAUGAAGAGGCCAUGGAGAAG